This is a long non-coding RNA of Equus quagga, 1288 nucleotides long. RefSeq lists it as uncharacterized. The record is from RefSeq and is a predicted model, not a curated record. The transcript has 3 exons. NCBI's taxonomy places the organism in Eukaryota, Metazoa, Chordata, Mammalia, Perissodactyla, Equidae.
GAGGGCCCUUCUUUUUGGAGCUCCCAUAACCUCUUGUCUUUCUCAGGGGGACAAAACAGUUCUCACAUUUCAGAAUUUGAUUUAAACAACCAACACUCACAUCAUCAUUUUGCUGAUUAAAAAAAAUUCUAUUCCUAACUGGAGUCUUAUUUUCUAAAAAUAGCAUUACAACACCAGGGUGAUCGAGAUUGUGAAAACCCUCACGUGGGGUCUCUGGCAGCGGUGGAGAUGAGAGAGUGAGUGACAGAGCAUGCUGAGUCCGCAGCUGCCACUGCAGCUGCCUCCCCUCUGCAAGCCAAAAGCGACUGGGACAGGCACGGCCCUUCUGGACCAGAAGUGAUGAAUCAGAUUUUUGUGAGGAGGCAGAAAAUCAAGUGGAAAGUAGUUCCAGCCAGAAGGGUAUUCUGUUGUAUUUUGGUCCCAGUGGCAGGAGGUCUAUGGCUUCCAGAUUGAACAAGUCUCGUGCUGAAGGAGACAGCAGCUCCAGUCUCUGGGCAGAGACACACCGUGGAGGAAGGACAGCUGUGCCGGCCCAAGUAACAGUAAACUGGACUUCUACACUGGAAUAUCUGAACCACCUAGAUGGAGAAAUCUCUUGGGCCUGUAUCUUCUGAAGAAAGCAGUGAUCCAUGGGUGUGAUCAUUUCAGAGCUGUCGCUUCUUGGGAAACUGCAAGGCCGUGCAUUUGGCCAUUUGAUAGAACCCUGUUUCUGCCUGAUGAGUCGGGGGUUUUGUUCAACCUUUGAGAUGGCUCCUAUUUUCCUUGAACACUCCUCUAGGAUGGCAUCUCCAUAGCCUUGGGUUUUCUGGUACAGAUUAGUUUGACCUUUAGCCAUCACAGGCUCACAAAUUACUCAAAAUCACAAGGUCUAUGAUGAAGCUGUGACAAUAAUUCAAAGGAUUUGUUUUUCUACCCUGGCUCUAUCCAUCUGAUUACAUUGUAAGCAACAUUUGCUGCCAUCUCUGUGGACAGAAAUUGUUCAUAAACUACAAAGAAAUUGCAUGGCCAUGGAAGAAAUCAACUUGUUAAAUGGGCCAUGUUUUUCCCCCCUAAGGAACAGAGAACCUGUAAAAUACUCUGUUGUGCUGAAAAAAAAAAAAAGAAAGAAAAGAGAAGAAGAAAGCAGGGGAGACCUCUGAACACUGAAGAAACACUAUUAGAAACUGUAAGGUUUCAAAGCAUUAAUGUGACAUUCUGUCUUGCAGAGGGCUUGUUUUAAUAGCGUGCACUAUGGUGUAAUGCUCUUUCUCCCACUUGGGACACUUUUCAAGGACCUAUCAAUUAAUAA